UGGCGGACGGGUGAGUAAUGUCUGGGAAACUGCCUGAUGGAGGGGGAUAACUACUGGAAACGGUGGCUAAUACCGCAUAACGUCGCAAGACCAAAGAGGGGGACCUUCGGGCCUCUUGCCAUCGGAUGUGCCCAGAUGGGAUUAGCUAGUAGGUGGGGUAACGGCUCACCUAGGCGACGAUCCCUAGCUGGUCUGAGAGGAUGACCAGCCACACUGGAACUGAGACACGGUCCAG
RNAcentral lists this ribosomal RNA (235 nucleotides) under uncultured bacterium. RNAcentral's name for it is "partial 16S ribosomal RNA". It matches the Rfam family "Bacterial small subunit ribosomal RNA", at positions 96 to 334 of the family's 1533-position model. The record is from RNAcentral.